This 260-nucleotide ribosomal RNA is filed under the name Pyrodinium bahamense. RNAcentral describes it as "partial Bacterial large subunit ribosomal RNA". It matches the Rfam family "Bacterial large subunit ribosomal RNA", at positions 1 to 281 of the family's 2925-position model. The record is from RNAcentral. Lineage: Eukaryota; Dinophyceae; Gonyaulacales; Pyrocystaceae.
AGUAAGAGCGUAUGGGGGAUGCCUAGGCUCUCAGAGACGAAGAAGGACGUGAUAAGCUGCGAUAAGCUACGGGGAUUAGCACAUAUGAAUUGAUCCGUAGAUUUCCGAAUGGGGCAACCCGGCUGUUUGAAGAACAGUCAUCCCGAUUUAUUGGGAGGUGAACCCGGAGAACUGAAACAUCUAAGUACCCGGAGGAGAAGAAAACAAUAGUGAUUCCGUAAGUAGUGGCGAGCGAACGCGGAUUAGCCCAAACCGAUAUA